AGAGUCUAUUUUAGGAGGCUCCACUGGUAAAACAGUUUUUGUUUCUCUUUCCUAAAGCAAAAAACAGUUUGUUACUGUUUCCUUGCUUUCUUUCCUUUUUGUGGUGGUGCUUCCAAUGGAGGUGGACGAAGUCAAGAACAGCAACAACAAUCACAACAACAACAACAGCAACAACAACAAGAAGAACGGUCCUUCUGUGCCUUCCAACUUCGUCACGAUUGUUCAACUCGAGGAACGAUGGCUUCAAGAGAAGCAAAGCAAGCUGAAGAAGGAGAAGGAGCUAGAGGAAGCAGCAGCACAAGAAGAAAAGGAACGACAAAGGAAGCUUCAGCUGCAGAAGCUUCGGGAAAAAGAGGAAGAAGAGCGGAAGCGAAAACUGGUUCAGAGCCAGGGUCGUCUCAAAUUCAACGCGAAUGAUCGCAAGCCCGACCGGAGACUGCAAAUUUGGCGGGAAAAUCGCCGAGCGGUGGUGGAGGUGAGCCCUGCGAAGAAGCCGGAGGAGCCGGCGGCGCUCGUGGCCGUGGAGGUUGGUAUCGGGAAUGCGAGUGCUCAGAAGGAGCAAACUGGCGAGGAAGCCAAGGAGAACAACAACGAGAAGAAGAACAAGAAGAAACCAAAGAAGAAGAAGAAGAAGAAAAUGAAACCUAGGUCAGAGGAAGAGAAAGAGAAGGAGAAGGAGGAGGUGGAGGUGACGGGAGGUGCGUCACACGCGCCGAAAGUGAUUGGCGAGAAGGAGAACUCUCCGGCGAGAACGAACGGCGAAUCGGAGGGAACAAAGAGUGAAUUCAGGCCGACGGCGGAGAUUGAACGGAAAUUUGGGGAUUUCACAAUCGGAAAAGGGAAUGUUAGAGUGACGAGGCCGAACACCGGUAUUUAUCACGGUCACAGAGACAAUCGGGGCUUUGGAGGAAGUUACAGGGAUUACAAAGGCUCUUCCAAGUUUGGCGGUCGCAAAGAGGUACAGAAGCCUAGUGGUGCUGGAAUGGCUUGGGUUAAGAAGGGAGAGAUUGGCGGUGUUCACAAUCAGAGAUCGAUCACCGAGCCGAAGAAAUCGAAUUAGUUUCAAUUGCUCUGCGGUUUUUGGUGCAAUGGUGCUUAUUUUGGGGAAAGUUUACAUGAAGCUUUAGGAGGUGUUAAACUGAAACGGAGAAAGGGAUUUGGGUCAUAAGUCAGCAACUAGUUGUGUAGGUUUUGCUAGAAGUGGCUGCUGGAGAAGGAGAAAGGGAAGAAGUAAUUAAUACUGUUUAAAGUGAUUGAUAUCAUAUUGAUCCAUGCCUGUUUGGUACAGUUUGUUUUUCAGUAUUUUGAAAAUGGAUUGUUUGAAAGAGCUGUACCUAGAAAAAAAUUUAGGGUUUUAGAUUUACUUCAAGAAAGUGGUUCUAAACCGCCCUCCUAAAUAGGCAAGUGAUACAAUAAAUUUCAUUUACUUGGUUUGGUCACUCUCUUUAAUGGAUUUGGCCAUAAAUCUGUGCAUCACCAUAGAAGAAUCAGAAUAAUUAGCACCUUUCCUGCA
Molecule: RNA transcript, 1513 nt
Organism: Quercus robur (English oak)
Lineage: Eukaryota; Viridiplantae; Streptophyta; Magnoliopsida; Fagales; Fagaceae
Exons: 3
Source: RefSeq, a predicted model, not a curated record